GAAAAAAAGAAGAAAGUGAUGAGGCGUUGUCUUGUUUCUCCCUCUUCCUAUCAUCGCAACCCAUGUUUCUUUUCAUUUCAAUGAACGCAAUAUUUCAACAACAGCGGGCUAAGUGUUUUUUCCCCAAAUUUUCAUUUUCGCAAUAUCAGUGCAAAUUCUCAAAAUUUUCUAUACUCCUAUCGAUUGUACCUUCAAUUCAUUCCUUCUUCAAUGAGUUUUCACGCUCGUCCAUCAAUCGCGACCUACAAAACUUUCAAAACCCUCAUAAUCGUCCGGUUCUUCUCUACUCAGUACUCACGAACCAAGAACCUGUUCUUGUUCUUCUCUAUUCCUUUCCUAUUUCCAAAUUUCUCUAACGCGACGCAAGAAUCCCUUCAAGACUCAUAAACGCUCGAAACCCUAAAGUUUUGAAACGCGACGAAGGUACUUGCGAUUCACAAGAAAAAAGAACACAAUUAUGGUGCAGUUGCAGAGGCAUAUUUCCUCGAUUCUUCGUUGUAAUCUUAAGAGAGUGGAGCAUACCAAUAGUUCGGCUACAAACCUUGUAAUCUAUCGCUUUGGUUCUUCUCUUUCACAAGGAAGAACGUUCUGAGAUUAAUCUACUGGAUCCAACACAAUAUAAAGUAACUCAUCCAAGUUGCUUUCUUUUUCAAAGUCCCAUCUUAGAACGCUUAGGCCUAAUGUUUGCUUCAUCUCAAACUGGUGCAGCGGUUGUAGAGAAUAUGGAAACAAAUAUUUUGGGGUUUUUGGGCUUGGUAUUUUGAGCAAUUUUUGUUUAGGAAUUCAGAGCUAAAAAUUGAAUCAAAAAAUCUUUGAUAGUGAUUCUCAUAUGGGAAAAAUAAAGAGUGGUCAAAAGGAUGAGGUAUGGUUGAAAAAUCUCCAAGAACUCUUGUAGAAGCUUUGUGAAGGAGUGAGAUCAACACCAAUUUCUUUACUCGAGUCAAAAUGCAGUGAUGCAUGGAUUAAGGUCCACAAAGGGAAUGGACUUAGACUAAGAUUCAGUACGCUCAACAAGAGGUCUUUUUCCUUUGGCAGUUGUUACCGUAGCAGCAAGAACGUUCUCAGAUUGUACUCCUUGAAAAAUCUCAGUUUCAACAUCAAUUAUCUCAUGUAAUGAAUGUUCUUUAUAUUAAAGGUGGUGCUGGCAUUCAAACCA
This is a long non-coding RNA of Trifolium pratense (red clover), 1156 nucleotides long. RefSeq lists it as uncharacterized. The record is from RefSeq and is a predicted model, not a curated record. Lineage: Eukaryota; Viridiplantae; Streptophyta; Magnoliopsida; Fabales; Fabaceae. The transcript has 3 exons.